GCUUUUGGCGGAUGGAGUGUGGAGAAGGGCAAAUUCAGCCUUUCAUUCAUCACACACACACUCCCUCUGUUCCCGCGUUCUCACGUGCGUCAUCACCACCCAAUUACAGAAUACUUUUUACCCAAAAAAACAGUAAUAAACAAAAAUUCAAACAAAUAAUUUACUGAAAAAGAAAUACAUCCGAAAACGACAACACCUCAAACCUGUCAGAAAUAUCUGCCACCACAGUUAGUUCAAUUAUUACCGGAAAUAGCCGGUCGUCCUCCGGUUGCUCGAAACCCUAUGCUCUCUCUCAGCUCCAGCAGCUGCAACAGCGACAGCAGAGCAGGCCCUCGCUCUCUCCCCCCUCUCUCUCUCUCUCUCUCUCUCUCUCUCUCCCCUCUAUGUUUGUAGGUUUAGAGAGAGAGAAAGCGACUGUAAGAAGAUUUUGUUUUUGUGCAAAAUCUGUGUGUGAGUGAGUGAGUUUCUAAAUAUUUACUGAUAUCGAUAAGUGUUUGUGUGUUUUUCUAUGCGCCCCUCUCUCUUUCUCUCACUCAAACUCUCAACUCUCUGUGUUUAUAUAUGAGGAUGCGUGAAGUGAGCAAAACCCCCCAAUCCCCAAUCCCCAAUCAAUUCACGUAUAUCUCUCUCUCUCUGUCUCUCUCUCUUCUGCAAGCCAUGCUUGUUGCUCAGUAGAAUAAGAUCAUCAUCAUCACCAUCCAUCAUCAUGAUAAGAUAGCCUUUCAUCUCUUUUCACUAUUAAUUUUUCUCAUCUCAGAUUCUCACCCCACCCCUCAAUUAAUUAGCUACACCCUCGCAACUCUCUCUCUCGUUCUUUGUAAAAGAGCUAUCUAUAGCUUACUAUGGCUGAGGGUUUUGAGCCCUACCAUGUUCCCCAACAAAGCAGAAGAGAAAAGCUCCGGGUCCUCGCAGGCCAAGCCCACCCGGGUUGUCUUCAACCCGACUCACCUCCUCCUCCUCAUCACCAUCUCCACCCGGGUAAUUGUGCUGCUUCUGGUUUCCUUCCUCUCCCCUACGAUCCUUCCUCCUCCUUCAUCGCCUCCUCAGAUUUGCUCACGUGCGAACCCACCCCAGCUUCCCCCGUGAAGCCAGAAGGUCAAGUGCAUCAUCAUCAUCAUCAUCAUCAUCCCUUGAUGGGUUUUGUUUCCAAUUCCUCUUCCUCUUCCUCAGCCUCCACCUUCCGCAACCAUCUCAAUUACUUGGAUCCACAGCCCUCCUCCAUUAAUUUCCCCAUAAAUCCCACCUCCAUUCACGACAUCAACGCCAACCCUUUUCUCUACCCACCGCAAAACCUCCAAACCCUCAGAGAUUUCGACCACCAAGCCGACUAUGGCCAUGAUCAAGUCGUGGUGUUCAAGCCAGAACCCUUAUCUCUAUCCCUCUCUUCUUCUCAACCCCCCCACCACCACACCCACCAAAACAACAACAACAACAACAACAACAACAAUCUCCAGAGAUAUGGGGCUUCUGCUGUUAACUACAGUUCACUCAAUUCAGGCGUCAAUGUUGCUUCGGCCUCUAACGAGAACAUUGGGUCCAGAAGCUCGGUUCCUCUCGGACCUUUCACGGGCUACGCUUCGAUUCUGAAGGGAUCUAGAUUCUUGAAGCCCGCGCAGCAGUUGCUAGAAGAGUUCUGCGAGGUGGGCAACCGAGAAAUUUACACUGCCAAAGUACUUGCUGAUUCGUCGUCGUUUUUCGACCCUCCUAGUAUCGAGAGCUUCAGCCCAACUCAUGUCGUCGACGACGACGACGACCCGCUCAGUGUCGAAGGGGACGGAGGUGAGAGCAGGAGAAAAAAAUCCAGGCUAAUUUCCAUGCUCGACGAGGUUUACAGAAGGUACAAGCAAUACUAUCAACAGAUGCAGGCAGUGGUAACAUCAUUUGAGUAUGUUGCUGGGCUUGGAAAUGCAGCUCCCUAUGCAAACUUAGCAAUAAAGGCCAUGACUAGACACUUCAAGUGUUUGAAGAAUGCCAUCACUGACCAACUUCAGUUCAGAAAUAGGGAUGCUACUCAGUUAAGCCAUGGAAAAGAUGAAAGUCAACUGCUUCGUAACACUAGAGGAUUCUAUAAUCAAAGAUCCAUUCACAACUCCGACUUUGUCGAGCACCAACCUGUUUGGAGACCUCAACGGGGUCUUCCUGAGCGCGCCGUUACUGUUCUUAGGGCCUGGUUAUUUGAACACUUCCUGCAUCCUUACCCUACUGAUUCGGAUAAACUAAUGUUGGCUAAACAAACUGGUCUAUCACGGAGCCAGGUUUCAAAUUGGUUUAUUAAUGCAAGAGUAAGGCUCUGGAAACCAAUGGUGGAAGAAAUACACACGCUCGAAACACGGCAAGCGCAAAAAACUUCACAGAGGGGAGAUCAAAGUGCGAACAGGUCAAUUGAUGAUCAUUUACCUUCACCAAACUCACUUGCAUCUGAGAAUCCAUCCACAACCACCCACCGGGUUCAAGACAGCUUGUCGAAACGCACAAGAAAUGAACUUCCUGAUCACAUCACGAUGGGGAGUAGUGCUGAUCAAUUGAACCUGUCAUGCAAUAACUUGCCAAGCCAUUUGCACGUGGGUCAUGUUGGUAUGAACAUGGCUGGGGGAAGUAGUAGUGGUGUUUCUCUAACACUGGGACUUCACCAAAAUAAUGGUAUUGGUUUGUCAGAACCCUUUCCUAUUAAUGCAGCUCAACGUUUUGGCCUUGGCCUUGAUGGCAACAAUGACGGCUAUGCAAUGGGUGGUUUUGAUUCUCAAAAUCGACAUUUCGGAAGGGAUGUCAUGGGAGGGCAACUUUUGCACGAUUUUGUGGGAUGAACAGGUAAGGCAUAUUCGGACAUCAUUGAAUUGGAGAUUAUAUACUAACAAAAUUGCAGUUAGAUGUUCAUUUAUCAAGCCAGAAUCCAAGUUGAAAUUACAAGAGUGGUUUGAAUGGUUGGUUUACCCUAUUAUUGUGGUGUUAGCUAGAGGCCAUGCAGCUGCUAUUAAAAUGUAUGGAAGUAUACGAUGUACAAAUUCCAGGCUACAGCGAAAGGGCAAAGUGCACAGCUGGAGAGAAGAGGACUCUGCCAUUUAUUUCUGUUUGUAUCAUUUCUGGAACUCUAGGUGAACUGUGAACAUCACAAACAUAAAAUGGACAAUCAUACUUAUUUCAGUGAA
Prunus persica (peach) is the source of this 3146-nucleotide RNA transcript. It is a transcript of the gene named BEL1-like homeodomain protein 9, with no coding region annotated. Lineage: Eukaryota; Viridiplantae; Streptophyta; Magnoliopsida; Rosales; Rosaceae. The transcript is spliced from 5 exons. The record is from RefSeq and is a predicted model, not a curated record.